GGGCGGUUAGCUCAGCUGGGAGAGCGCAGCGUUCGCAACGCUGAGGUCGUGGGUUCGAUCCCCAUACCGUCCACCA
This 76-nucleotide transfer RNA is filed under the name Oscillospiraceae bacterium. Its description in RNAcentral is "tRNA-Ala". It matches the Rfam family "tRNA". Rfam says of the family: Transfer RNA (tRNA) molecules are approximately 80 nucleotides in length. The record is from RNAcentral. Lineage: Bacteria; Bacillati; Bacillota; Clostridia; Eubacteriales; Oscillospiraceae. RNAcentral also lists the same sequence under 1 other name.